GUCAGUUUCUUCAUUCUAUGGAAUUAUAGGCUGCAGUGAUUUAAAAAAUCUUGAAGUUAAGUAACUCAUUCUGUUGCUUUGUCUGGGAAGGUCUGUUGUGCAGCCUUGCACAAGCACAGCUGUGAGUAGCUCCAUCCAUGAAAAAAAACAUGAAUGAGCCAUUUAGCAAGCUAACAGAUGAUGUGACUGUUACCCUAAACGUUUGUUUCUUUUCUUUACCACUUCAUGAUAAAUGUGAAACACGAUAUCUCCUGACCUAUACUGCUAUAUGUUUUUUUUUUGUCUGACUCAGGAUGUGAUCUAGUUCUAUCUAAAGGGGUUUAUUUAAUUUUAAUUAAUUUAUAUUGUCUUACACAUAUUUAUACAUUUGAAUAAAUACUGUAAUAAAUUAUAAAAUGCAUCUUCAUUAAAUUCUUCGGUAUAAGAAGGACCUACAUUGGAUAUGGAAAGUAUUUAUAUCUCUAUAUACAAUAUAUUGUGUACAUUUGCAUGAGACCUGGUGAAGUGUGCUGAGUCUGUUUCACUGAAU
Pelobates cultripes (western spadefoot toad) is the source of this 529-nucleotide non-coding RNA. NCBI's taxonomy places the organism in Eukaryota, Metazoa, Chordata, Amphibia, Anura, Pelobatidae. The record is from the annotation of a GenBank genome assembly.